CCGGCGUCCAUCUUCAUUGCUCGACCUUAUGACUACGCAAGAUCUCUGCCGAAGUUGCGAUUCAUAUUCCUGUAACGGAAUCUCCAGCCUCCUAUAAAUCAAUGUUGUCAAUGGUGACUUUCAAUUUUCUCUUAACUUUUCUACCAGAGUUGUGGUUCGCCUCCUGAUUGAACCUUACAUAACCUUUGAGUAUUUUUCAAGCUCUGGAUAGGGUAUCAAGUUGUGUAGCAUCUCUGUGGAAACACGACUCCAACCUACUGUUUGAUAGUUUUUUCAAUUCAUUGUUGGGUUUUGCUUUUACAAUUAGUUGAAAGAGUCUACUUAUUGUUUCCACGACAGGAAUGUUACCGUCUACUUAUCUCUGUGGGAUGAGGCUGCAUCAACCUUUAGGAGCAUUUUCAAAGCAGGGGAUAGAACCCAGUCUGUGAUGUUGGUAACCACGGUUAAUCCUAAACUGUUUGGAGGUAAGGAUCACCUGUUCUCUGGUUCAUACAAUGAUUGUCCCAUGUAACUAACACAUUUUUUUCCAAUCAGGUAAUCACCAAGGUUAGCUCUCAUUUGCCUCUUAAUUUUACUCCUCCACUUUUCUACUUUGUUUAACUUUGUAACCUCCGAUCCGAAAAUGUCUUCAUCAGGUGCUUCAGUGGAUAACGCCGUCGUCCCACACUUUACCUUCGACUCUUCGCCUCAGAGGAACUGCUCAGUUUGUUAUUGGUCGUCUCAUCCCAGGAACGUCAAGAAGAAUGGAGAGUUCACGGGGAUCACAAUUCUACUCAACGAAUUGAUGAGCAGUCACAAAGUAUCCAAAUCAACAGCAACUCUGUGAGUGGGUUAUUCUACAUGGAUAGAGCAAGAUGACAUGUCUGUGCUCUCUCCCUCCCUGUAAGGCCUUACCUUUUGUCUGCUUCUUCUCUCUCCAAGGAGCAGUCACAGGUUAAAUUGGAGCUCACGUUAUUAGAAGCUCUUGAAAUCUAUCCUCCCGUUAAACUCCGAGGCA
Raphanus sativus (radish) is the source of this 997-nucleotide long non-coding RNA. RefSeq lists it as uncharacterized. The transcript is spliced from 3 exons. The record is from RefSeq and is a predicted model, not a curated record. NCBI's taxonomy places the organism in Eukaryota, Viridiplantae, Streptophyta, Magnoliopsida, Brassicales, Brassicaceae.